This 468-nucleotide ribosomal RNA is filed under the name uncultured bacterium. Its description in RNAcentral is "partial 16S ribosomal RNA". It matches the Rfam family "Bacterial small subunit ribosomal RNA", at positions 28 to 507 of the family's 1533-position model. The record is from RNAcentral.
GAUGAACGCUGGCGGCGUGCUUAACACAUGCCAGUCGAACGGUGAAGGCGGAGCUUGCUCUGCUGGAUCAGUGGCGAACGGGUGAGUAACACGUGAGCAAUCUGCCCCUGACUCUGGGAUAAGCGCUGGAAACGGCGUCUAAUACUGGAUACGAGCUGCGAAGGCAUCUUCAGCAGCUGGAAAGAACUUCGGUCAGGGAUGAGCUCGCGGCCUAUCAGCUUGUUGGUGAGGUAACGGCUCACCAAGGCGUCGACGGGUAGCCGGCCUGAGAGGGUGACCGGCCACACUGGGACUGAGACACGGCCCAGACUCCUACGGGAGGCAGCAGUGGUGAAUAUUGCACAAUGGGCGAAAGCCUGAUGCAGCAACGCCGCGUGAGGGACGACGGCCUUCGGGUUGUAAACCUCUUUUAGCAGGGAAGAAGCGAAAGUGACGGUACCUGCAGAAAAAGCGCCGGCUAACUACGUG